UCCUUGGUGGGUCCAGUGGCUAAGACUCUGUGCUUCCAAUGCAGGGGCCCCAGGUUCAAUCCCUGGUCAGGGAA
Bos taurus (domestic cattle) is the source of this 74-nucleotide non-coding RNA. NCBI's taxonomy places the organism in Eukaryota, Metazoa, Chordata, Mammalia, Artiodactyla, Bovidae. The record is from Rfam.